AGCUUUGCUGUCCGAGUUGUAGUCUCGAGAAGCGGUUUUCCGCGCUGAAGCAUGCAUGAGUCUGUUGGAAUACAGCGUCAUAGAGGGUGAGAACCCCGUUCGUGGCAUGCCUUUCAGUGCUUUGUGAUACGUUUUCGAUGAGUCGAGUUGUUUGGGAAUGCAGCUCUAAUUGGGUGGUAAAUUCCAUCUAAAGCUAAAUAUUGGUGGGAGACCGAUAGCAAACAAGUACCGUGAGGGAAAGAUGAAAAGCACUUUGGAAAGAGAGUUAAAAGUAACGUGGAAAAUUGGUCGAAAAGGGGAAAAGGAAUUUGGAANGUUCGGAACGUGCAGGGUAAACUUGCAGGCCAAACAAUCGGUUUCAUUAGCUGGAUAAAGGGUUAGAGGAAGGGUGGCCAGCUCCGGGCUGUGUUUAUUAGGCCUCUAAACUGAAUACAGGAAAGGUGAGACCGAGGGACCGCAGCGCAAGCUAGGAUGUGGUGGAACGGGUUUUAAACGACCCGUCUUGAA
Molecule: ribosomal RNA, 507 nt
Filed under: Rhodotorula sp. CRUB 1756
Lineage: Eukaryota; Fungi; Basidiomycota; Microbotryomycetes; Sporidiobolales; Sporidiobolaceae
Description: eukaryotic LSU rRNA
Rfam family: Eukaryotic large subunit ribosomal RNA
Source: RNAcentral